GGAGCAGUACUCAAACGGCUAAGAGAGCAGUCUUGAAAACUGAUAGGGCGUAGGGAUACGCUGUGUGGGUUCGAAUCCUACCUGCUCCGCCA
This 92-nucleotide transfer RNA is filed under the name Phascolarctobacterium faecium. RNAcentral describes it as "tRNA-Ser". It matches the Rfam family "tRNA". Rfam says of the family: Transfer RNA (tRNA) molecules are approximately 80 nucleotides in length. Their secondary structure includes four short double-helical elements and three loops (D, anti-codon, and T loops). Further hydrogen bonds mediate the characteristic L-shaped molecular structure. tRNAs have two regions of fundamental functional importance: the anti-codon, which is responsible for specific mRNA codon recognition, and the 3' end, to which the tRNAs corresponding amino acid is attached (by aminoacyl-tRNA synthetases). tRNAs cope with the degeneracy of the genetic code in two manners: having more than one tRNA (with a specific anti-codon) for a particular amino acid; and 'wobble' base-pairing, i.e. permitting non-standard base-pairing at the 3rd anti-codon position. Lineage: Bacteria; Bacillati; Bacillota; Negativicutes; Acidaminococcales; Acidaminococcaceae. RNAcentral also lists the same sequence under 2 other names. The record is from RNAcentral.